UACAGAGGGUGCAAGCGUUGCUCGGAAUUAUUGGGCGUAAAGGGUAGGUAGGUGGUCUUAUUUGUCUGGGGUGAAAGCCUUGAGCUUAACUCAAGAAGUGCCCCAGAAACGGUAAGACUAGAGUCUUGGAGAGGGUUGCGGAAUUCCCGGUGUAGCGGUGAAAUGCGUAGAGAUCGGGAGGAACACCAGAGGCGAAGGCGGCAACCUGGACAAGUACUGACACUCAACUACGAAAGCGUGGGGAGCAAACAGG
This 253-nucleotide ribosomal RNA is filed under the name uncultured bacterium. RNAcentral's name for it is "partial 16S ribosomal RNA". It matches the Rfam family "Bacterial small subunit ribosomal RNA", at positions 524 to 776 of the family's 1533-position model. The record is from RNAcentral.